This 1132-nucleotide long non-coding RNA is filed under the name Salmo trutta (river trout). Its description in RNAcentral is "lncRNA (ENSSTUG00000043000.1)". Lineage: Eukaryota; Metazoa; Chordata; Actinopteri; Salmoniformes; Salmonidae. The record is from RNAcentral.
GAAGAACUGACGCUGGGAGCAGACUGUCUGCAGCCCUGAAUACAUGUAGGACAGGGAGAGAGAGGGAGAGAGCGAGAGCAAGAGAGAGAGAGUGAGCGAGAGCAAGACAGAGAGCGAGAGCGAGAGAGAGAGAGAGAGAGAGAGAGAGAGAGAGAGAGAGAGCAGUAGAGCUAGAUUGUGGGAGAGGGAGAGAAACAGGGAUAUGUGUUCUUCUCAAAUACAUACAUAUACACAGUGAGAGAGAGAGAAAGAAAGACUCUCUCUCCUCCUAGCACGUACCCCCCCCCACACACACACACACACAUGAACAUGAUCUCACUCACACUCUCACACACACAUACACUCACAGACGCAUGCUUGCUUUAGGGUACCAGGCGGCUUGGUGUUCUUCUCCUUUGUUGUUUUUGUCAUUCAUCAGUCUUGGUACGGUGUGCUGUGCUGUGUGAGUCUCGCUGGGUGAGGAGACUGUCUGCGUGGCUGUCUGAGAAUGCCAUCUACACUACGCCGACUCUCAAGUCAAAAUUAUUUGCAUACAGGAGGACAUGAUAAGUUUGCAGGGAGCAGUGUGAGUGUGUGAUGGGUAAAGAACGAGUGGGAUAAAAGAUAAGUAAAGAAAGAAAGAAAGAAGAAAGAAAGAAGAAAGAAAGAAAGAAAGAAAGAAAGAAAGAAAGAAAGAAAGAAAGAAAGAAAGAAAGAAAGAAAGAAAGAAAGAAAGAAAGAAAGAAAGAAAGAAAGAAAGAAAGAAAAGAGGACGGACAUACUGGAGCAUAAAAAAGUUUGGGAGAAGACUGCAUUCUGAGACUGAAAAUGAAUUUGGAAGAGUGGUGAGCUCUUUUUCUCCAGUUUAACAUCUACUAUCGUGGGCCACGGAGGAAGCAGAGGUCUGGACCAAAGAGAAAUCUCACCCCAAACCAUUUCAGUACUGCAAGGCUCCACAAGCUUCUAUCACAUCUGUGGAAUUUCCCCAUGGUGUAAUUCCCAUAAGCUGGCAGGCCAGGAGGCCGAGGAGUGCUCGUAACCACACAGAGGGGCGGGUGAGUCUCAGACUGGCUUCAGGGACCCAGGCACCGGUCUCACGAGGGGCCUUGAGGGAGGAAGUGCUGUUGUUGUCAUCUCGGCUGAGAGAGGCCUU